AUUGAACGCUGGCGGCAGGCCUAACACAUGCAAGUCGAGCGGAUGAAGGGAGCUUGCUCCUGGAUUCAGCGGCGGACGGGUGAGUAAUGCCUAGGAAUCUGCCUGGUAGUGGGGGAUAACGUCCGGAAACGGGCGCUAAUACCGCAUACGUCCUGAGGGAGAAAGGGGGGGAUCUUGGGACCCAAGGCAAUCGGAUGAGCCUAGGUCGGAUUAGCUAGUUGGUGGGGUAAAGGCCUACCAAGGCGACGAUCCGUAACUGGUCUGAGAGGAUGAUCAGUCACACUGGAACUGAGACACGGUCCAGACUCCUACGGGAGGCAGCAGUGGGGAAUAUUGGACAAUGGGCGAAAGCCUGAUCCAGCCAUGCCGCGUGUGUGAAGAAGGUCUUCGGAUUGUAAAGCACUUUAAGUUGGGAGGAAGGGCAGUAAGUUAAUACCUUGCUGUUUUGACGUUACCAACAGAAUAAGCACCGGCUAACUUCGUG
This 484-nucleotide ribosomal RNA is filed under the name uncultured bacterium. RNAcentral's name for it is "partial 16S ribosomal RNA". It matches the Rfam family "Bacterial small subunit ribosomal RNA", at positions 30 to 507 of the family's 1533-position model. The record is from RNAcentral.